CAGGCUUAACACAUGCAAGUCGAGGGGCAGCAUGGUCUUAGCUUGCUAAGGCCGAUGGCGACCGGCGCACGGGUGAGUAACGCGUAUCCAACCUGCCUUACACUCUUGGACAGCCUUCUGAAAGGGAGAUUAAUACAAGAUGUUAUCAUGAGUAAGCAUUUUCGCAUGAUUAAAGGUUUACCGGUGUAAGAUGGGGAUGCGUUCCAUUAGAUAGUAGGCGGGGUAACGGCCCACCUAGUCUUCGAUGGAUAGGGGUUCUGAGAGGAAGGUCCCCCACAUUGGAACUGAGACACGGUCCAAACUCCUACGGGAGGCAGCAGUGAGGAAUAUUGGUCAAUGGACGAGAGUCUGAACCAGCCAAGUAGCGUGAAGGAUGAAGGUUCUAUGGAUUGUAAACUUCUUUUAUACGGGAAUAAACGAAUCCACGUGUGGAUUUUUGCAUGUACCGUAUGAAUAAGGAUCGGCUAACUCCGUGCCAGCAGCCGCAGUAAUACGGAGGAUCCGAGCGUUAUCCGGAUUUAUUGGGUUUAAAGGGAGCGUAGAUGGGUUGUUAAGUCAGUUGUGAAAGUUUGCGGCUCAACCGUAAAAUUGCAAUUGAUACUGGCAGUCUUGAGUACAGUUGAGGUAGGCGGAAUUCGUGGUGUAGCGGUGAAAUGCUUAGAUAUCACGAAGAACUCCGAUUGCGAAGGCAGCUUACUAACCUGUAACUGACAUUGAUGCUCGAAAGUGUGGGUAUCAAACAGGAUUAGAUACCCUGGUAGUCCACACGGUAAACGAUGAAUACUCGCUGUAGGCGAUAUACAGUCUGCGGCCAAGCGAAAGCAUUAAGUAUUCCACCUGGGGAGUACGCCGGCAACGGUGAAACUCAAAGGAAUUGACGGGGGCCCGCACAAGCGGAGGAACAUGUGGUUUAAUUCGAUGAUACGCGAGGAACCUUACCCGGGCUUAAAUUGCAACCGAAUAUGGCGGAAACGCUAUAGCUAGCAAUAGCGGUUGUGAAGGUGCUGCAUGGUUGUCGUCAGCUCGUGCCGUGAGGUGUCGGCUUAAGUGCCAUAACGAGCGCAACCCUUGCCGAUAGUUACUAACAGGUCAUGCUGAGGACUCUGUCGGGACUGCCAUCGUAAGAUGUGAGGAAGGUGGGGAUGACGUCAAAUCAGCACGGCCCUUACGUCCGGGGCUACACACGUGUUACAAUGGGGGGUACAGAGGGCUGCUACCACGCAAGUGGAUGCCAAUCCCAAAAACCUCUCUCAGUUCGGAUUGAAGUCUGCAACCCGACUUCAUGAAGCUGGAUUCGCUAGUAAUCGCGCAUCAGCCACGGCGCGGUGAAUACGUUCCCGGGCCUUGUACACACCGCCCGUCAAGCCAUGGGAGCCGGGGGUACCUGAAGUGCGUAACCGCAAGGAGCGCCCUAGGGUAAAACUGGUGACUGGGGCUAAGUC
RNAcentral lists this ribosomal RNA (1442 nucleotides) under uncultured organism. RNAcentral describes it as "16S ribosomal RNA". It matches the Rfam family "Bacterial small subunit ribosomal RNA". The record is from RNAcentral.